UUUUUAUCAAUGCAAUGGGUUUAAGAUUCAUUAGCUUUCUCAUUCUACUCUUUCAC
This 56-nucleotide transfer RNA is filed under the name Festuca ovina. RNAcentral describes it as "partial tRNA-Leu". The record is from RNAcentral. Lineage: Eukaryota; Viridiplantae; Streptophyta; Magnoliopsida; Poales; Poaceae.